GAUGAACGCUGGCGGCGUGCCUAAUACAUGCAAGUCGAGCGAACGGACGAGAAGCUUGCUUCUCUGAUGUUAGCGGCGGACGGGUGAGUAACACGUGGAUAACCUACCUAUAAGACUGGGAUAACUUCGGGAAACCGUAGCUAAUACCGGAUAAUAUUUUGAACCGCAUGGUUCAAAAGUGAAAGACGGUCUUGCUGUCACUUAUAGAUGGAUCCGCGCUGCAUUAGCUAGUUGGUAAGGUAACGGCUUACCAAGGCAACGAUGCGUAGCCGACCUGAGGGGGUGAUCGGCCACACUGGAACUGAGACACGGUCCAGACUCCUACGGGAGGCAGCAGUAGGGAAUCUUCCGCAAUGGGCGAAAGCCUGACGGAGCAACGCCGCGUGAGUGAUGAAGGUCUUCGGAUCGUAAAACUCUGUUAUUAGGGAAGAACAUAUGUGUAAGUAACUGUGCACAUCUUGACGGUACCUAAUCAGAAAGCCACGGCUAACUACGUG
This 497-nucleotide ribosomal RNA is filed under the name uncultured bacterium. Its description in RNAcentral is "partial 16S ribosomal RNA". It matches the Rfam family "Bacterial small subunit ribosomal RNA", at positions 28 to 507 of the family's 1533-position model. The record is from RNAcentral.